RNAcentral lists this transfer RNA (76 nucleotides) under Burkholderia sp. M701. Its description in RNAcentral is "tRNA-Arg". It matches the Rfam family "tRNA". Rfam says of the family: Transfer RNA (tRNA) molecules are approximately 80 nucleotides in length. Lineage: Bacteria; Pseudomonadati; Pseudomonadota; Betaproteobacteria; Burkholderiales; Burkholderiaceae. The record is from RNAcentral. RNAcentral also lists the same sequence under 1 other name.
GCGGCCAUAGCUCAGUGGACAGAGCGCCGAUCUCCUACAUCGGAUGUCUCCCGUUCGAAUCGGGAUGGCCGCACCA